CACAACCGAGACGGUAGUAAAAGAGGGGAAAACUCCUUUACAUUUCGACAUUUUUUAUACUAAAUCCCAUUUAUUUUGUAGUUAAUUGUUAGAUAAGGUCAUAACUUCGUCAAGUUUUCGUUACAGGGGGUUUCUGUUCCUGCAGCCUUCCAGCGACACUUCAGUCGUACUGUGUGUGUACUUGCUUUCCGCGUAUGACGAUACGGACACGAACAAUAUACUGCCACCUACUGUACUGUAGUAAAAUGACGUGUAUGAUUGAAUACUGUGGCAAACGCAGUAAAAACAGACAUCCUUUAAACAUCUGAUAAAUGUGUACUACAAAAAAGGUUUUCUGUGCUAUGUGCUAUAAGUCUGAGGUAGGACCAUCCUUGUGGUUUGAGUGGAACAAUGGGGGUAUUGAGACCAAAAUAAACAAUGUGCCACUCUAGACAGCUGUGGACAAAAUAUGCAGUCAGAGUAGCCUAUUUUCUCAAACAGAAAGAGAAUUCCAGGCCAAAAGGACUCAACAGAGACAGCAUUUUAGAUGAGGAGCAACCAGUACAUCAAAGCAAAAAGAUGCUAUGAUGUUGUCUGAGGCACCUUAUUAUUUGUUAUCUGUCUUCAGAGGAAAGGCAGCUUGGAGGUUGCUACAGCUACACAGGGAGAAUUUCAGCAGCUCAGUUUCAUACUUGCAACUAAUAAUGAAUAAUAGUUAGAAGACAGCGGAAAGAAUUGGCAUUGCAGAGACACACACCAAGAGACACACACACAGGCAGCUGAAGCGAGUUUGACUGACGUGCACAGGAGAUCAGGCACGUGCACGGAAGGUCGUGCACGCACACACAAACAUGGAGCACAGCAUAAUUACAACUGUUGGAUUAAAAUAAAAGUACU
Paramisgurnus dabryanus is the source of this 876-nucleotide long non-coding RNA. RefSeq lists it as uncharacterized. NCBI's taxonomy places the organism in Eukaryota, Metazoa, Chordata, Actinopteri, Cypriniformes, Cobitidae. The record is from RefSeq and is a predicted model, not a curated record.